RNAcentral lists this ribosomal RNA (253 nucleotides) under uncultured bacterium. Its description in RNAcentral is "partial 16S ribosomal RNA". It matches the Rfam family "Bacterial small subunit ribosomal RNA", at positions 524 to 776 of the family's 1533-position model. The record is from RNAcentral.
UACGUAGGUGGCGAGCGUUGUCCGGAUUUACUGGGCGUAAAGAGCGCGCAGGCGGUCGGAUCAGUCGAAUGUGAAAGCCCCCGGCUUAACUGGGGAGGGUCAUUCGAUACUGUUCGACUCGAAGGCAGGAGAGGGAAGUGGAAUUCCCGGUGUAGUGGUGAAAUGCGUAGAUAUUGGGAGGAACACCAGUGGCGAAGGCGGCUCACUGGACCGGAACUGACGCUGAUGCGCGAAAGCGUGGGGAGCAAACGGG